AGAGUUUGAUCCUGGCUCAGGAUGAACGCUGGCGGCGUGCUUAACACAUGCAAGUCGAGCGAAGCACUUGAGGUUGAUUUCUUCGGAAUGAAAUCUCAUUUGACUGAGCGGCGGACGGGUGAGUAACGCGUGGGUGACCUGCCCCAUACCGGGGGAUAACAGCUGGAAACGGCUGCUAAUACCGCAUAAGCGCACGGAGCUGCAUGGCUCAGUGUGAAAAACUCCGGUGGUAUGGGAUGGGCCCGCGUCUGAUUAGGCAGUUGGCGGGGUAACGGCCCACCAAACCGACGAUCAGUAGCCGACCUGAGAGGGCGACCGGCCACAUUGGGACUGAGACACGGCCCAAACUCCUACGGGAGGCAGCAGUGGGGAAUAUUGCACAAUGGGGGAAACCCUGAUGCAGCGACGCCGCGUGAGCGAAGAAGUAUUUCGGUAUGUAAAGCUCUAUCAGCAGGGAAGAUGAUGACGGUACCUGACUAAGAAGCCCCGGCUAACUACGUGCCAGCAGCCGCGGU
RNAcentral lists this ribosomal RNA (515 nucleotides) under uncultured chicken cecal bacterium. RNAcentral describes it as "bacterial SSU rRNA". It matches the Rfam family "Bacterial small subunit ribosomal RNA", at positions 8 to 521 of the family's 1533-position model. The record is from RNAcentral.